GCUUCGCAUCGAGUGGCGUUACGACGCGUUAAUUAGUGAGUAAAAUCAUAUUCAGCCGCGCGAUUUUAUACUUCUCGAUGACAGAAAAGUAGGACCGUGUCGUGGUGAGUGAAUUCGUGAAUGUAAUUGUGCAUUUUUCUGAUGGUCGGCGCAUUAUAACCUUCGAGUGCGAGUCUUUGCAUUGUCCUUCGCCAUUUCGAGAGUCAAUGCCAAAAGAAGACGAGCAGAGAAGGUGGAGGAGCAAUCCUUGAGACGAGUGAAGAAAGAGAGGAGGAAGAGAGGUAUUGGAGCAACUGUUGAG
This is a long non-coding RNA of Nylanderia fulva, 301 nucleotides long. RefSeq lists it as uncharacterized. Lineage: Eukaryota; Metazoa; Arthropoda; Insecta; Hymenoptera; Formicidae. The record is from RefSeq and is a predicted model, not a curated record.